Bactrocera dorsalis (oriental fruit fly) is the source of this 7262-nucleotide long non-coding RNA. RefSeq lists it as uncharacterized. The transcript has 3 exons. The record is from RefSeq and is a predicted model, not a curated record. NCBI's taxonomy places the organism in Eukaryota, Metazoa, Arthropoda, Insecta, Diptera, Tephritidae.
UAAUAAUAAUAAUAAUUUUAUUUUGCGACAUGAAGUUACAAAAAAAUUAAUGAUUUUUCUGCUUUGUGCACAGUGAAAUAUAACUAAUAAUUUAAACAAGUAAAUUUGAAUAACUAAAUUUUAAGAAUUAAUUAAAAAUUUAAGAAAAAUGAAAAAUUACUCAUUGUAAUGUAAACAUUUAGAAAUGUUCACCGAAAGCUGACCGCAUACGGGCUUAUCGCACUCAACGCAGGAUUUCAGUGUCUUUCGGCGUUUGCGAAUAGGCUGCUGCGCAAAGAAACUUUCGACUGGGAUUUUGGUAGAGUGGUUUCGCAUUAUUUGCUGAUUCGAGACACGUUCUUCGAUCAUCGGCAUUGAUCAUUCUUCUCACAAUUGUCGAAGGAAAAGUCUUCGUCUGUUUGUUUUCUUACAAAGCAUGCUGUUAUUCUCAUAGUAGAUGACAUAAGCAGGCACACCUGCAAUGUCGAGGAUGUUAAAAAAGAAAGCCAGCGGCCAUCUACACGUUCGCUGUUGGGUGGAGUACCUCGUACACAUUUGAUCCAUGGUGUCAACUCAAUUAUUUUUACGUAUAAUGCACUUAUACGCACGAAUUCGCUUACGGGUACCCGGGUACCCUGGGCGGCAGAUAGUGUGAUUUUUUUUGGGUGGCAACACAAGGGUUAACAUAAUAUCUCCUGGUAAGCCGACAUAUUGACUUAGUAAUCAAAACAAAAUACCAGAUUAAUUGAUUUUGCUGUAAUCAAAAAUAUAGAUAAAUCGCACAUAACAGUUGAUUCAUGUACUUACCUUUUUUCUGAUCAUUAUCCUCUACUAAUAAGGCUAUGUGAACAAUCUAUUAAUAUUGAGUAUAUUGAGUACAAAUUAAAUACAAGAAGAGAUAUUGACGAAAGCAUAAGAGAACUCAAUGAUAUAAUACCUAACGCAGUUGUCUAAGCAACAACAAACAAAAACUAUAAGCCGCUUGGUCACAGAAAAAUCAGUAAUAAAAAAAUAAAAAAGCUUGUAAAUGAAAAAAGGCGUGGAAGACGAGAAUGGCAGAUAAUUCGCUACCCUUCCACUCAGCUUCGAUUGAAAUCUUCUCAACGUAAAUUAAAAAAAGCACUUAAACGGAAGGAAAAAUUCAACACCGAAACAAACAUAUUAGGGUGUGCCAUUCUGAGGCAACCUUUUUUUCAACUGGAAAAAAGGCUCAAAACUUUCGAAAAUGUGUAAAAAAAAGUCACUUAAAAGAUGAGCUCUUAAUAUUAAUAUUAAGAGGUGUCUAUUUCAAAUUUUCUGUUUUCCAUAUAAAUUACAUGGAAAAAAAUCAUUUUUUUUGUGGUGGUUAUUGUGCGGAGGUUUUAUAUGUGCCCCGAUGGCUGCCAGUAGGGAUGGUAAACUCGAUCCCGAUUCUACUCGAGAGUCCGCACAAAUAACACCACAAAAAAAAAAUGAUUUUUUUUCCAUGUAAUUUAUAUGGCAAACAGAAAAUUUGAAAUAGGCACCUCUUAAUAUUAAUAUUAAGAGCUCAUCUUUUGAGUGACUUUUUUUUACACAUUUUCGAAAGUUUUGAGCCUGUUUUUCAGUUGAAAAAAAAGGCUGCCUCAGAAUGACACACCGUAAUACAUAUAUAAAGAAGCUAAGCCAAAUUGAAGCAAGUGAAAUUCCCUUCGUAAAGCCCAAAAGUUCAUUAAGUCAACUCUAACAUGCCUAUACUUGGGUGGAAAUUGGGCCCGAAGUGCCUAGGAAAGGUUAAUACCUAAUUGCCCAGAGAACAACUUUAAGCUGUCAAUUUUACCCGACAUAGCGAGCGAGUUGCUUUAGACUUUGAGCACUUCACAUUUUGAAAUUAGUAGAAUCAUAAAAGAUCUUAAUCUAAAAAAGUUUCGAGGAUAUCAUAAUAUUAUCACACAAAUGCUAAUUGCAAUUGUGGUGUGAAGGCCUUUUAUAUAAGAUUAAAAACAUUAUACCUUUAGAAUUGUAUAAAACAUUAGAGUCUUAUUUAAAUAAUAGAAAACUUAUGGUUAAAGUGGGAGAUUUUAUGUCUGAUGAGCGACAGAUAAGAGCUGCACAUUUAAAUUGGCUUUUAAAUAAAAAAUCUACACUUAGCCUAGACAACAAAGUGCUUUUAAAUAAUGCGGUCCCAAAGCCGAUUUGGGUUUAUGGAAUUCAACUAUAGGGUACGAGCUGAGCAAUUAAUAUUGAUACUAUAUAAUACAAAAGUUCCAAUCAAAAACGUUUAGAACAAUCAUUUGCUCGCUAUGGUACAUGCAUAAUGAAAAUAUCCAUAAAGAUCUUGCUAUUCCAAUGGUAAACAAAGAAGUAGAGGACAGCAGAAUGAAAUAUAUAUCUAAGCUCCAAGAGCACUCAAACCAAUUGGCGAAUGCAUUAGUACCAGGGAUAAUAGGAUACCCAUCUUAUUCCAGUGUGAGAGCGCCUCAAAAUAAACGUUUUUUAAAACAUUUUCCAUAGUGGCCAGAUCAAACGAAAUAAGAAUUUUUGGGCAAGUAAAUUAAAAUGCCCAACUGUACUUUCCACACCAUCCAGGAGGUAUGCAAAACGGCGCGUUACCAAAGUUAGUUUUGGGUGCUCGGUUCCCCUUUAGGCCUAUAUCACUCAUUAAAAAUUUAUUUACAUAAAGUAACAAAACAGCAACAGUUCAUUAGUAUACAACGAAAAAAACAAAACUAUAAAUGUAUACAUAUAAGGAUAAAAACAAAACAAUAACAAUUCAUGUAAAAAAUAUAUAAAAAUAUCACAGUGUUAAACGAAUUAUUUACAUAUAUACAAAUGCCUUCAUUUAAAUACCAAAUUCUAAUUUUCGUUAAAAAAAUUGCUUUCUAAUUUUAUAACCUCUUUAUUCUACCUGUUUAAAAAAAUUUUACUUUUUUAUAUUCUAUCGUAAGUUUAAGUUCGCAUAUUGUAACCACUAAAAAAUAAAAAAAAUUUGAAACCUAUAGGUGUGAGACACACAAAAUUUUAUUUUUAAAAUUAGGGAUAGAAAGGUCUUUAUUUAAAAAUUUAUUUUAAUUCUAAUAAAAAGAGCUAUAACUAUUUUUGGGUCACAAUUAUUACAACACAAAAAUGGCUUAACAUUUUUCAUUUUAUUAAGAAGAAUAUUUCCUAUUCCUAUUUUAUGACAAUUACUGUCGAAUUCUUCUAAAAAUCUUGUUUCCAAAAUUUUUACAAAUGCAAUUUAAUCAGGCGGCUUCACUAAAUUGCAUUUGUCUAUUUGAUUUUGAAGCAUGAAGAUGAAUUCGUCCGAAGGAAUUUCAUCUCCUAAAUAUGGUAAAGGCAGGGAACAUGUGUGCAGUUUGAAAAUUUUUAAAUAAAAAUAGCCGCAAAGUAGCUAAACGUAUUUUCUUUCAAAAAAUUAAUUUUUAAACUACUGUCUAAUGUGAUUGAUCUAACGAGGGAGUGUUCAGGCCGUGGUAAACCUUAAAAAUCCUGCCAAGAAAGGUCAUUCAAUAGUGAAUCCUUACAUACAUUACGCAGAACAUUAUUACUAUGUUCCGAAAUUACUGUAGCAUCAGUUUCUAAACGAAGCUCACAGUUUCCUUUUGUUAUGACGUUUACGUAACGUAAGCCCCACGGUUUCCUAAACAAACCAGAGAACAUAUAAGGCGUUACUCUAGUGCCUCCUCUGCUUCGAAUCUGCCCAAAAAAAUUUUCUAAUUUUCUGUCCUGACAUGUCUCGUCUUCAUGUACGGAAAACCUGAGAGUCACAAAAAUCGCCACAAUCGUCUUAAACUGUUAAUAUUUAACAUCCACCGCUUUAUAAAACUAAAAUUUUUGGUUAUGUUGCUUUCUAAAUCGUCUACGACCCGAAUAGUUUUUAGAAUUUUUUCUGCCUCAUUUAAAAACUCUAACUGUUCAGGGGAAACUACAACACUUUUUAGUGGGUACAACAGCCUCAACGAAACUGCUAUUUGAAAUAUCAAAUAAUUUAUUAAAAAACGAAACGAAUUCCGCGGUAUUAAUUAAGCUCAUACUAUUCCAGCUUAAGGCUCCCGAGCUAUAUAGGGACAAUAUACCAGAAGCGACCGUAUUACUCAAUACUUGAAACGCUAAUUUAACCUUCAUUUUUUGGAAGGUAUUUGGAUAAAUAUGAGCAACGGUUAAUUUAUGCGCACACAGAUAACUCGACUUAGAGUCGGUUUCAUAAAAAUGAACAAUAUCCGACCAGCUUACCCGACAAUUUUUAAAGAAAACCUAACAAAUUAGCGAAAAUCUGAAAAUUGGUGCCCUGGGGGGUUACUUUGUAAGGCGUUGCACAAGUGAAAACGCUCGUUAAUGAAAAAAAGCAACUCUGCAAGGCGACAAGCGCAUUGGAAAUUGCGUUUUGCGCAUUUAUUUUUACCCCUUCGCAUUGGAAGCAGUAAACGAGUGUCAAAUCUGUGAGUUUAACGAAUUUUUGAUUCGAUAUCAAACUGGCAAGCGCAACGGACAAAAAAUGAACAUUCUAAAAAUAAGCAAACAAACCCAACACAAUUCGAAAUUUUAAUUAAUUAUAUGGAAACACAUUCUGAACUUUCCAAAGGACAACUGAAAACUGUGGACGCGAAAAAUGCUGCAAAUAAUUUAUGGAAAGAGUUGGUAUGUGAUCUUAAUGCUGCGGGGCCACCAUCGCUCGAUGUUUUAAAAUGGAAAAAGGUUUGGUCGGAUUAUAAAACCCAUUUGAAAGCAAAAAUGCGGCGGAACAAACUAAGUAUCUCUGGAUCUGGUAGUGGUCCACAGACAUUGCUCCGUAACAUCGUUGGGGGAGCAGGUUAGUGAGCUUCUGGCAAUGGAAAUAUCCGUCAGUGGAAUAAGCGGCACCUCAGAAUUUGGUGCAUCACAGUUAACUCAACCAAGUGGGUCAGACAUCACAACCGACGAAUAAUGAAAACCUAAAGGUGAUUUCAAAAUGUAUGAAAAAAACAUAAAAUCGGUAAAAGAAAAUAUAAAUUGGCUGUUGAAAAAUUCGAACACAAAAAGGGAUUGAUUUGAACAAAACAAAACUAAAAUUUUAACGGCCCGACCAAUAAAAAUGUUGUAUUUUAGUUAUUGACAUUGAAGUCUGUUACUUAUUUUUUAAUAUGUACUUACUGAUAAUUAUUUAUUUAUUAUAUUAAUAAUUUAAAUGAAUUGUUUUGAUUUGAAGACGUAUUUUGUGUUGAUGUGAUAGUUUUUACUUUUUAUUACAUAUAUAAUACUUACAUAUAUAGAUAUGUAUGUACUAUAUACACAUGUGCAAUAGACUAAAGCUUUAUAUCAUUAAUGUGAAUUUUAAUCAAAUAAAUGUGAAAAUGUGAAAAAUUGAAAAGUUUACUUUAUUAAAUAGUGUUAUAUGUUUUUAGAGUAAUCAUACUGUUUUUUAUUUGAUCCCUUAAAAGUUUAGCAAUAUUGGUUUCUUUCGCAUUUCCUUUGGUUUCAAUAUAACUAGCAUCGACUUCUUCAACUUCUACGAGGUAUGACAAUUAAGUAAUGAGACUGAUUCCAUAAAUAACACUUUAAUAUCCCUCAAACCAACGCAAAUAAAAAGAAUAAGCUGGAUAGACUUUUACUCAUUCAAUAUGGUCCGUGAAAACAAUUUUAACUUGUUGCUACGCUCAGGGACAGUAAUAUUUCAUUUCUUAGAGGAUAUGUUUGUAAAGAGGGAGAGCGAGCAUAUGCGCUACAUUGCUAUAAAUCAGAGUAAGCUGCGUCCUUGGAGCUACGUACACCUCCAAGAAGCCUUUACCGAAAAAUGCAACGUCAACCCCAGUGACUUGAGGGUUGGAGGAUAUGAGGGAGAGCGAGCAUAUGCGCUACAUUGCUAUAAAUCAGAGUAAGCUGCAUCCUUGGAGCUACGUACACCUCCAAGAAGCCAUUACCGAAAAAUGCAACGUCAACCCCAGUGACUUGGGUCACAUGACGGUACUCCCGCCAUCGUUCUUAAACAGUUCCCGUUAUUCAAGACGCACUGGACUGGACUUAUCAAUUACGAUUACAUGUACCCCAGCCGCGCUCUCUUGAAAGAUACGCAAAUGAACAAAAAUGGUUUCCCAUUGUAGGCGCGUAGAGAGCCCCAGGAAGGAACAGCAGAAACCGCGUCCAUGGACAAUAACUGGGUGGUUCCAUAUUUGGUAGAGGAUCAAAAUGUAUACUCCCCUUAUUCUACGCCGUUUUUUCUAACGCUUGUUUUCUAUUUCUACUGCUCUACUUAUCCUACCCCGUUCAUAUUUACGCUUUAUGUUUAAGCUAAUUUUAAAGUUUUGGUAAAGAUGGAUAAACGUCAAAAAUCUCAAUAUUACAGUAUAUAUUUUUAAUUAUGUGUAUUCCUCUUUAAGUUCGAAUAGCAAUCACCCGUCUGAAGAAUAACAAGGCGGCGGGGGCCGAUGGAUUUCCGGCCGAGCUAUUCAAACACAGUGGCGAAGAAUUGAUAAGGGGCAUGCAAUAGCUUCUUUGUAAAAUAUGGUCGGACGAAAGCAAAAAUGGAGACCCCACAAUCUGCGCCAACUACUGUGGGAUAAGCGUCUAUCGAGGGUAUUGUGAAGAAUUAAAGGCCACCGGCAACAAGCUGAUUCGACCUUAUCAGUAUGACUUUAGACCUGGAAAAUCAACAACGGAACAGAGAUUAACCAUGCCGCAAAUCGUGGAAAAGAGCCGUGAGAAGAAAAUCGGCAUACACCACCUCCUCGUCGAUUUCAAACCUGCUUUUCGCAGCACGAAAAGGAGCCUUUAUGCCGCGAUAUCUGAAUUUGGUAUACCCGCAAAACUAAGGACCUCUCCAAGCCGUUCGAUACCAAAUGAGGGUUCAGACAAGGUGAUUCUCUUUUGUGGGACUUCUUCAACCUUCUUCUGUAGAAAAUAAUUCGAGCUGCUGAACUAAACCGAGAAGGUACAAUCUUUUAUAAGACUGCCAAGCUGCUGGCGAGUGCCGAUGAUAUUGAUAUAGUUCAGGAGGAGGAAGACUUCCACUCCGUUGGAAGGAGCAAGUGGAGAAGGACCUGGCUUCGCUUGAAUUAACCAAUUGGCGCCACGUAGCGAAAAGAAGAAACGACCAGCGCGCUGUCGUUAACUCGGCUAUAAUCGCGUAAGCGGUGUCUACGCCAAUUAGGAAGAAGAUAUGUACAUAUUUGCAAUUCUGUAAAAAUUGUUAAUUUUUUAUUAGUAAGGAAAAAUAAAAAUAAAUUAAAAUAUUUAGCAUUUUAAAAAUAUUUUUAAUUAGGAAAGGGAAAUUGCAACCUUGCAUCAGCUCUCGAUUGCGGAUAUUAGAGCAGGUCAGAUAUACUUUUUUAUAUGACACUGCAGAAUAAGCG